Molecule: long non-coding RNA, 291 nt
Organism: Carassius gibelio (silver crucian carp)
Lineage: Eukaryota; Metazoa; Chordata; Actinopteri; Cypriniformes; Cyprinidae
Exons: 2
Source: RefSeq, a predicted model, not a curated record
CUCAAGUCUGAGUUCACUUUUCUCCUUUUCCAGUUUUUGUUUGACUCUCUGCAGAUUGUCUAUUUGCUCUCCCAAAUCUGCAACACUGUCGGCUUGUUUCUUCCUCAGUGUGGCAGCAGUGGCCUCGUGCUGCAGAGUGGCCUCUUCAAGGUCUCUGCGAAGCUUCUGAAACUCUGCCUCUCUUUUCUUAUUCAUCUCAAUCUGAACAACUGUAGCUCCUCCAGCCUCCUCCAGUCUCUCACUGAUCUCCUCCAGCUCUCUGGCUAAAUCUGCUCUCUGUUUCUCCACCUU